GAGCCUGCAGGAACCAAGCGUUGACCAUUCCCGUGUCACUGGAAGAAGGACUGCACCUCUUCUGGCCCGACGCAGCGUCUGCCCGGAGAGCGCUCUGCGCGCUGUGAGCGACCAUAGGUGUUUCGAGUCCCGUCUCCAUGGAGCAUGAAUACAAGUUUCAGCCAGGAAAUGUCCACACGCAAAUACAUCUCAGAAUUAUUCAACAGGUAAGAGGACCACCCUUUGUUUUUAGGGGAAUGAAUUUUCAAGGGGAAAAAACCAAGGUCCCCCCAAAAAGAUGCAACAACUUGGGGAUGUUCAUUG
RNAcentral lists this long non-coding RNA (303 nucleotides) under Columba livia (rock pigeon). RNAcentral describes it as "partial uncharacterized LOC102094333". Lineage: Eukaryota; Metazoa; Chordata; Aves; Columbiformes; Columbidae. The record is from RNAcentral.